This 253-nucleotide ribosomal RNA is filed under the name uncultured bacterium. RNAcentral describes it as "partial 16S ribosomal RNA". It matches the Rfam family "Bacterial small subunit ribosomal RNA", at positions 524 to 776 of the family's 1533-position model. The record is from RNAcentral.
UACGUAGGUUGCGAGCGUUAUUCGGAUUUACUGGGCGUAAAGAGCACCGAGGUGGCUUCUUAAGUUGGAUGUAAAAUCUCCUGGCUUAACUGGGAGGCGCCAUUCAAAACUGAGGAGCUUGAGGUCAGCAGGGGAAGGUGGAAUUCCCGGUGUAGUGGUGGAAUGCGUAGAGAUCGGGAGGAACACCAGUGGCGAAAGCGACCUUCUGGGCCGCACCUGACACUCUAGUGCGAAAGCGUGGGGAGCAAACAGG